CCCUUAGAUGUUCUGGGCUGCACACGUGCUACACUGGCAGGUUCAGCGAGCUUCAUGCCCUGAUCUGAAAGGAAUGGGAAAUCUUUUCAAAACCUGCCGUGCUUGGGAUAGAUGUUUGCAAUUAUUCAUCUUCAACGAGGAUUGCCUUGUAAGCGCACGUCAUCAGCGUGCAUUGAAUACGACCCUGUAUUCUGUACACACCGCCCGUCGCUCCUACCGAUUGAAUGCUCAGGUGAGCCAUUCGGACUUUCAUCAUGCUGGUUUCCAGUUUUGAUGAAGGAAAGUCUUGCGAACCUUAUCAUUUAGAGGAAGGAGAAGUCGUAACA
RNAcentral lists this ribosomal RNA (326 nucleotides) under uncultured eukaryote. Its description in RNAcentral is "partial 18S ribosomal RNA". It matches the Rfam family "Eukaryotic small subunit ribosomal RNA", at positions 1470 to 1796 of the family's 1831-position model. The record is from RNAcentral.